This 1090-nucleotide long non-coding RNA is filed under the name Sorghum bicolor (sorghum). Its description in RNAcentral is "long non-coding RNA (SBIC_LNC007479)". The record is from RNAcentral. Lineage: Eukaryota; Viridiplantae; Streptophyta; Magnoliopsida; Poales; Poaceae.
GCAUGGUAGUAUUUUCGUUUGUAUUUGACAAAUAUUAUUUAAUUAUAGACUAACUAGGUUUAAAAUAUUCGUCUCGUAAAUUAUAAGUAAAUUAUGUAAUUAGUUAUUAUUUUUAUCUAUAUUAAUACUUUAUACAUGCACCUCAAGAUUCGGGCCUUGUUUAGUUCACCCAAAAACCAAACAAUGUUCCAGAUUCUCCGUCACAUCGAAUCUUAUAGAUGAAAAAUAAAAACUAAUUACACAGUUUGUCUGUAAAUCGCGAGACGAAACUUUUAAGUCUAAUUACUCCAUGAUUGGACAAUGUUUAUCAAAUAAAAACGAAAGUGGUACAAUAUCAAAAUUCAAAAACUUUUUGGAUCUAAACAGGACCUUGAUGUGACGGAGAAUCUAAAAUUUUUUGCAAUUUUUUUGAAACUAAGGCCUUGUGUAGUUCGCCUAAAAAACAAAAAAAAUCAAAAUUUCUCGUCACAUUGAAUCUUGCGGCACAUGCAUGAGCAUUAAAUAUAGAUAAAAAACUAAUUAUACAGUUUGUCUGUAAAUUGUAAGAUCAAUCUUUUAAACUUACUUAAUCUAUGAUUAAAUAAUAUUUACUAAAUAAAAAUAAAAGUACUAUAAUACACGAAAACAAAAAAAAUUUAGAACUGAACAAGGCCUGAUCAAGGCCUACAUGUUGGAAGAGUAUGGCACGACCAUAUCUGAGAAAGGCGGACGACGAUACAUGUGCAUCCGUGUGUGUUCCAUUGGUUUGGGAAAGGCGGCACUGCAUUAUUAUUAAUAAUUGUCACCAAAAGCUUUCGUAUCUUGCAAGAAUGGGCCAUGAUCUAUGUUCGUGUACACAUGCAUAUCAGUUUCUUCCACCACAAGUUUGCACCACGAGGCCAUGUUAAGCCUGGUUUGUAGCACUUUCGUUUGUUUGUGGCAAAUAUUGUCCAAUUAUAAACUAACUAGGGUCAAAAGAUUCGUCUCGUGAUUUACAGACAAACUGUGUAAUUAGUGUUUGUUUUUGUCUAUAUUUAAUACUUCGUGCAUGUGCCGCAAGAUUCGAUGUGAUGGGGAAUCUUGAAAAAUUUUGAAAACUAAACAAGGCCCU